This 387-nucleotide ribosomal RNA is filed under the name uncultured bacterium. RNAcentral's name for it is "bacterial SSU rRNA". It matches the Rfam family "Bacterial small subunit ribosomal RNA", at positions 29 to 416 of the family's 1533-position model. The record is from RNAcentral.
AUUGAACGCUGGCGGCAUGCUUUACACAUGCAAGUCGAACGGUAACAGGGAGCUUGCUCCGCUGACGAGUGGCGAACGGGUGAGUAAUGCAUCGGAACGUACCCAGUCGUGGGGGAUAACGUAGCGAAAGUUACGCUAAUACCGCAUACGUCCUGAGGGGAGAAAGCGGGGGGACCGUAAGGCCUCGCGCGAUUGGAGCGGCCGAUGUCGGAUUAGCUAGUUGGUAGGGUAAAGGCCUACCAAGGCGACGAUCCGUAGCGGGUCUGAGAGGAUGAUCCGCCACACUGGGACUGAGACACGGCCCAGACUCCUACGGAGGCAGCAGUGGGGAAUUUUGGACAAUGGGCGAAAGCCUGAUCCAGCCAUGCCGCGUGAGUGAAGAAGGCC